CCCUUAGAUGUUCUGGGCAGCACGCGCGCUACAAUGGUCUUCGCAAACGGAUGCAUUCUCGAAGGAGAAUGCCAAUCUUGGAAUCUAUGCCUUGGUCGGGACAGUUGCUUGCAAUUUUUCGACUCGAACCAGGAAUUCCUUGUAAUCGUGAUUCAUCAAAUCGCGUUGAUUACGUCCCUGCCCUUUGUACACACCGCCCGUCGCUCCUACCGAUUGAAUGUGUUGGUGAGGAGCUCGGAUUGGCAGCAGUUGGUGGUUCGCCACCGGCUAUUGCUGAGAAGUCCUCCAAACCGCCCCAUUUAGAGGAAGGAGAAGUCGUAACA
Molecule: ribosomal RNA, 323 nt
Filed under: uncultured eukaryote
Lineage: Eukaryota
Description: partial 18S ribosomal RNA
Rfam family: Eukaryotic small subunit ribosomal RNA
Source: RNAcentral